UACGUAGGGGGCAAGCGUUGUCCGGAUUUAUUGGGCGUAAAGCGCGUGUAGGCGGCCAGAAAAGUCCGCUGUGAAAACUCGAGGCUCAACUUCGAGCUGUCGGUGGAAACUUUCUGGCUGGAGUCCGGAAGAGGAGAAUGGAAUUCCUGGUGUAGCGGUGAAAUGCGCAGAUAUCAGGAAGAACACCCGUGGCGAAGGCGGUUCUCUGGGACGGUACUGACGCUGAGACGCGAAAGCGUGGGGAGCGAACAGG
RNAcentral lists this ribosomal RNA (253 nucleotides) under uncultured bacterium. RNAcentral describes it as "partial 16S ribosomal RNA". It matches the Rfam family "Bacterial small subunit ribosomal RNA", at positions 524 to 776 of the family's 1533-position model. The record is from RNAcentral.